This is a long non-coding RNA of Stegostoma tigrinum, 1127 nucleotides long. RefSeq lists it as uncharacterized. The transcript is spliced from 3 exons. The record is from RefSeq and is a predicted model, not a curated record. Lineage: Eukaryota; Metazoa; Chordata; Chondrichthyes; Orectolobiformes; Stegostomatidae.
ACCACGUGAUCAUCCACGAGAGCAGUCGCUUCGAUAAUAUGAACCGCAGAUGCUGGAGAAUCCGAGAUAACACGGUGUGCAGCUGGAUGAACACAGCAGGUCAAGCAGCAUCAGAGUAGCAGGAAAGCUGACGUUUCGGGCCUAGAUCCUUCGCUGAGACCAAGACUUGUGCAAUUGAGAUACCAGCGAUCGUUGCCAAAGCCCUCUUACCUGUGCAGAAGGUGAUGUUCAACUUUCGUGUCCUGCUGCAGUUUGUAUGAUGAAGGUGAUCCCACAAUGCGGGCAUUUGAGAAGUUACAGAUCGUUCAUCUAGCGAUACUGAAGAGCUGAUGGUGUUAGUCCAAAUCAACAAACAAUUUGUAUUUUUAUCAUGUUUUACAAUUUGAUUAAAACUAUUAUCACGAAACUUUUGACGUAAGGCCAUGUUAGGUCAGGUGACCAAAAAGUAACCAAAUUUGCAGGUUUUCCUGACUGUCUUAAAGAAGCCCAAUUAUCUCGGGAUUUUGAACGUUGAAGGAGAAAGCAGCACUCACACUUUGGAGAAAUGCAAAUGGUUUGUGUAUAAAAGAGUCUGAAGAUUCAUCUGAAAUGUCCUAACACCAUACUGGGGAGACAGUGUGGAAAUGGGCAGAUUACAAGAAGGAAUUUCUUCAUCCAUCCCAGCUGGAAACUGACCACCAGAGUCACACUGGAGAGAGACCAUUCACCUGCUCUGAUUGUGGAAUGGGAUUCGCUCAGCCAUCUAACCUGCUUAAACACCAGGGAGUUCACACUGGAGAGAAACCAUUCACUUGCUUGGAAUGUGGGAAAGCAUUCACUCAGACAACUCACCUGCUGAUACACCAGCAAAUUCACACUGGAGAGAGACCAUUGGCCUGUUGUGUGUGUGGGAAAGUUUUUCUGACUCAAAUUCUCCUCUGACACACCAGCAAGUUCACUCUGGGGAGAGACCAUUCAUGAGCUCUGAGUGUGGGAAAGCAUUCACUCAGUCAUCCAAACUGUCACAAAGAACCACAGUUGAAGGAUUUUGCUAUUACGCUCACGAUCAAAUGAACCAUAGUUUUUGGCUGUUUGUACUGAUGUUACUCAUCCCUGUUCAAUUAAAGGUGCUGGUAUUGUGAAUAAAA